CCUCGGGAGGCAGCAGUAGGGAAUAUUGCACAAUGGAGGAAACUCUGAUGCAGCGAUGCCGCGNUGAGUGAAGAAGGCCUUUGGGUUGUAAAGCUCUUUCGUCGGGGAAGAAAAUGACGGUACCCGAAUAAGAAGGUCCGGCUAACUUCGUGCCAGCAGCCGCGGUAAUACGAAGGGACCUAGCGUAGUUCGGAAUUACUGGGCUUAAAGAGUUCGUAGGUGGUUAAAAAAGUUGGUUGUGAAAUCCCGAAGCUUAACUUCGGAACUGCAAUCAAAACUUUUUAGCUAGAGUAUGAUAGAGGAAAGCAGAAUUUCUAGUGUAGAGGUGAAAUUCGUAGAUAUUAGAAAGAAUACCAAUUGCGAAGGCAGCUUUCUGGAUCAUUACUGACGCUGAGGAACGAAAGCAUGGGUAGCGAAGAGGAUUAGAUACCCUCGUAGUCCAUGCCGUAAACGAUGUGUGUUAGACGUUGGAAAUUUAUUUUCAGUGUCGCAGCGAAAGCGAUAAACACACCGCCUGGGGAGUACGACCGCAAGGUUAAAACUCAAAUGAAUUGACGG
This 558-nucleotide ribosomal RNA is filed under the name uncultured bacterium. Its description in RNAcentral is "bacterial SSU rRNA". It matches the Rfam family "Bacterial small subunit ribosomal RNA", at positions 339 to 916 of the family's 1533-position model. The record is from RNAcentral.